AAACGAACACACGUGGUUGGGGAGAAUAUCCUCAGGCCAGCGAGAAAACUAUAGUUAAGGAACUCGGCAAAUUAGCCCCGUAAGUUCGCGAGAAGGGGUGCCUAGGGCAACCUAGGCCGCAGUGAAGAGACACCGGCAACUGUUUAUCAAAAACACAGCUCUAUGCAAAGGCGUAAGCCGAAGUAUAUGGGGCGACGCCUGCCCAGUGCUCCAAGGUUAAGAGGAGGGGUUAGCCAGUAGUAAGAUACUGGUGAGGCUCUGAAUUGAAGCCCGAGUGAACGGCGGCCGUAACUAUAACGGUCCAAAGGUAGCGAAACUCCUUGUCAGGUAAGUUCUGACCCGCAUGAAAGGCGUAAUGACUGGUGUACUGUCUCAACUAUAGACUCGGUGAAAUCUUAGUACCGGUGAAGAUGCCGGUUACCCGCAACUAGACGGAAAGACCCCGUGGAGCUUUACUGCAACUUGAUAUUGGGUUUUUCUCUUGUUUGUACAGGAUAGGUGGGAGACUGUGAGGCUAGGACGCCAGUUCUAGCGGAGUCGUUGGUGGGAUGCCACUCUAACAAGCGGAGAAUUCUAACUUAUUGGUUUACAGCCAAAAGGACAGUGUCUGGUGGGUAGUUUGACUGGGGCGGUCGCCUCCUAAAAAGUAACGGAGGUGUUCAUAAGGUAUCCUCAGUAGGUAUAGAAAUCCUAUGUAGAGCGUAAAGGUAGAAGGAUGCUUAACUGUGAGACAUACAAGUCGAACAGAUACGAAAGUAGGACUUAGUGAUCCGGCGGUUACCUAGUGGUAGGGCCGUCGCUAAACGGACAAAAGUUACCCCGGGGAUAACAGCUAAUACUUCCCAAGAGACCACAUCGACGGAAGUGUUUGGCACCUCGAUGUCGACUCAUCGCAUCCUGGAGGUGAAGAAGCUUCCAAGGGUUGGGCUGUUCGCCCAUUAAAGCGGUACGUGAGUUGGGUUUAGAACGUCGUGAGACAGUUUGGUCCCUAUCUGUUGUGGGCGUAGGAAAUUUGCGAAGAGCUGCUCCUAGUACGAAAGGACCGGAGUGGACUAACCAAUGAUGUGCCAGUUGUCAUGUCAAUGGCACGGCUGGAUAGUUACGUUAGGAAUGGAUAAGCACUGAAAGCAUAUAAGUGCGAAGCCAACUUCAAGAUAAGAUUUCCCAUCCGUAAGGAGUAAGAUACCUUCAAUACCAGGAGGUUGAUAGGUGGAAAAUGUAAGCACAGUAAUGUAUUUAGUUAAUCCAUACUAAUUUAUCGAGGACUUAUCCAA
RNAcentral lists this ribosomal RNA (1274 nucleotides) under metagenome. Its description in RNAcentral is "bacterial LSU rRNA". It matches the Rfam family "Bacterial large subunit ribosomal RNA", at positions 1651 to 2925 of the family's 2925-position model. The record is from RNAcentral.